Arachis ipaensis is the source of this 2429-nucleotide non-coding RNA. The record is from RefSeq and is a predicted model, not a curated record. NCBI's taxonomy places the organism in Eukaryota, Viridiplantae, Streptophyta, Magnoliopsida, Fabales, Fabaceae.
AGAACUGGAACCCUAGCUCAUUAAACGAAACACAUCCAGACAGUGCUCUCGAUCUCCCUUCUCUCUCCUUCGUCUCCUUCGUGUAAAGAAGCCCUCCGACAACGCCGUUCUUCCCUCUCUGGCUUCUCCUCUCUCUGCCGGUUACCAUUUCUCUAGAAAAUCGAAAACAUGGUACCAGAAAGGCCGUGAAAGCUAGAUAGUCAGAUCGCUCAUUUAUAGAAAGAGAGAAAGAGAAAGCCACGACGCUCCACGAUCGGGUCUUGUGUUGAAGCAUUCUAUUGACGUUUGAUAGGUGCAAGCAUUUGAAAUUGAAUUAAAAAGGGUCGUUAGUCUCGAAGACUAGAGGGGGGCUUCAGUGAUUCCCAAAUCUGGAAAUUUAUUCUCUUUUCAAUUCCGGUCACUUAGGGUAAUAUUUUCAAUCUGAUUCUACUUUCAUCGAUAUAUUUCUGUUAAUUCCAUCUUCAACUUUGUUUUUACAAUUCAUUUGCUACGUGAUAAUUGAAUUGCUGGUUUUCUGUGCUAUUAACGCUUUCUUAUUGUUUCUCGUGUGAAGGUUUCUUCUUAUUUGUUUUUCUGAGCUGUUACCAGCUGGUUUCACAUAUCCUUUGCUAAGUUUUGUUUUUUACAGAACAUUUGAACUUGUGUUUGGUAGGUGAUGUUACUUUGCAAUUGGUUUGUUGGGUUUUGGUCAUUCAGAUUGCAGUUUUUGAGCUUGGGGACCAUUCUUGAUGCAGUUGUUGUUUACUAGUUAGUCUUAUUCUCCAUAUUCUUAUGUUCUUAGUUGGUGAAUUUGCUAGACUUGGUUCUGGAAGUUUUAGUGUUUUCUUUGUGUGUCUUGCUCAUUAAUCAUUAAGUUUAAUGAUUGAAUUUCCGUUAUUUGAAACAAUGGAAGCAGAAAUGGUAUCUCAAUAUGGAGUGAAAUUCUAACUUCUAAAGGUUCAUAUUUUCUAACUUUUACAAACCAGCUAGUAGUUUCAGAUUUUGUUCUACCUUUAUUUUUGGUAUCUUAUUUGUACAUGUCUUGAGAGUCAACAACUCCAUACACAAACUUUACCUCUACAUUCCUAUGUAACAAAAUGAAUCUAUCUAUGAACUCUACAAAGGAUGAUUUGGUGUAUCUGGCAUAUUUGAGUAAUCAGAAACCUCCAGUACCAGUGGGUGUAUGUCUGAUUUUGGAUUAUAUUGCUGAAACACUACAACAGAAGCAGAAGUGGAGAAAUAUAAAGAAGCCAAGUAGUUUCCAUAUUUGUUACAAGUUCAAACAGCUGGUACUUGAUGGUAUUAUAAAUAAAGAGAGAUCCACAAGCGCAUCUAUCUGUGUUGCUGGGAGUGAUCCUUCACUUGUGGAAUCUCCAACUGAGCCUAAGUGGUCCCCUGAUGGUAUGUAAAUUUGGCAUCUUCUUUAAUCCUGAAAAAGAACUUUACAUUUUAUGUUCGAGGUAAUUUUAUUGUGUAAGUGAAGGUUAUGUUCAUGCAUAUGAGAACCAUGCAUGUUCAGUAAUUGUAGGUAAUAUUAGACAAUUUUAAAGGAAUGAAAUAUUUAGCUAUAGUUGUUUCAAUUAGAGAAACAUCGUAAUUAUAAUUUUGAGUUUUUGAUACAUUCAAUUGACUAGUUGUUAGACUUCAAGGAAAAGGGCUUCUUAUCCAUAAUCAAUAUAAUUUUGUUGAUAAGUUAUAAAGAUUUUACAUUCCGAUUGGAAUAAUUGAGGCAUUGUAAAGAAGUCAUUGUGAAGAAGUCAUAUAAAAAUUAUUAAUAUCAUUAUUAUCCGGUUAAUAAUGAAAGUACACACUGCAUCUCAAUUUAAUACUUACAAGUUUCAACUUAUUUUUAUUAUUAGUGUGUGUCCCAUUUCUUAAUCUUGUGGUCAUCAACAAAUAAUUAAUUAAGCUUCCUUACUUAUUAUUAUUACUUACGGAUAAUAAUAUGCUUAAUUUAAUUAAUUAGAUAUAGUGGUAUUAUUAUUGUGUCUAAUAAUGUUGUUGCAUGAUGCACAAAUUUUAAUGCAGAUGUAUCGGACAGUGAAAACUACAGAUAGAGCAGCGGCUUCUUUAGAUUAGUGCAUAGUUUUUAAUUAAUUUACAUUUGAAGACAUAAUGUUUCACAUAAACUCACCAUCAACAAGGAGGUACUUGGCAACACGUAUCAAAGCAAAUUGCUAGAAGUGAUUAGGUGAGCCAUAUAACUCAUGUUUUUGAGAGGCAAGCUGAUGGAAGUGUGCCUGGAAGAAUUGGAUCAAGAGAGUGGGAUUUCAUCGCCAAAAGAGUUAGAAAGUAGAUCUUUUGAAGCGAAUAAUAGAGAAGCGUGAUUUUUUUAUGAUAGAGACUUGAUGUAUUAAGAGUUACAUAUUAAGACUUUCAAUACUUUUGUAUAGGAGUUAUUAUUUUUUAUUUUCAAUACUAAAAAAUUAUAUAUUAUGUUUAAUAUUUUA